AAGUGUACAGUGUGUUACUCAAACAAUAAUGAGUCAGCUGUUGGAAUGGAUUCCUCCAUAGCAACCAAAGCCUCAUACUGAACAUAUAGCAGCAUACCAUGACACAGUGUUUGUUUCUGUUAUUUCACAAAAUUUGACUCAAAUAAUAUACAUAUUCUUCAUAGCUUCAAGAGAUGAUUUUAAGCACAAUCUCUGGAGACAAAGAGGAAGAGGAGGCAGAGGACAGUAAUACAUAGAGUCCUGCUCUGACUGGCAGUCUGAGUGCUCUAAAUGGAGGCGUCAAUCCUUCUCUCUACAGCCAGUUCAAUUUACACAUCAGAGAGCAGAAAAUCAACCAAAUCACCUUGCUAAAGAUCAAGAAAAUUGAGAAAUACCUCACCCCUGAGCAGAAAGAAAAAGAAAAGCUAAGAGAGGAAGAUGAACGGCAAAGGCUUGCAGCCAAGUCUGACAACAUGAGAGAUCAAGCACUCAGUGUUAUGAUGGGUGGAGUUCUGGAACUUAAAAAAGAGGACAUGCUGAGGAUGAUGAGGAAGUACCUCAGCCCGAGUUCAUGUCUAAACCUGAGGUACAAUGGACAGAAGAAGAGAGAAAGAGCUUCAAAGAGUUUGAAAAAAAGCAAAAGAGCUCAGUGAGGAGAAAGAGAAAUACAGAAAGACACUAGAGACAGAAAUGAAGAAACUGCUGACAUCUAUCAAAGAGGCUACCCAGAUGUUUGAUGAAAAACUCACAAAGCUGUUUGAAAGGAAGGUGAAAUCAGAGAUGGUCAUAUACCAAGUAAGCUGAUACAGUACAUCAUUGCAUUUUUGCAUGUCACCUUUUCAGGGGCCUAUUG
This 832-nucleotide long non-coding RNA is filed under the name Sinocyclocheilus anshuiensis. Its description in RNAcentral is "lncRNA (ENSSANG00000008693.1)". Lineage: Eukaryota; Metazoa; Chordata; Actinopteri; Cypriniformes; Cyprinidae. The record is from RNAcentral.